Molecule: long non-coding RNA, 764 nt
Filed under: Marmota monax (woodchuck)
Lineage: Eukaryota; Metazoa; Chordata; Mammalia; Rodentia; Sciuridae
Source: RNAcentral
GAAAAGUUUUUUAGUAAAGGAUCUUGAUUUUACCCAGCAAUUUCCCCCCAAAAUCUGACUAUAAGUCUUUUCUCAUUUUGGGGGAUACAUCUAAUCCAUUUAGAAAGGAGACUGUUUGGAAUUAUAAUUCUAGUGACUUGCCAUGGAGCUUGAGAUCACAAAUAAGAACAGCUUCAUAGUUAAUCUUUGACCUUUUGUCCUAAAGCCCAAUUUAUUCCCUCUUCUUAAUUACCUUUACUCUUCAUUUAUAGCUCCCUUUCCAUUGGUUAUUUCUCAUCAACAUUAAGUCCUUCUGAUUUUGGCAAAAAAAGGUCCAGUAUUCCUAAUGUUUUUAUUACCAUCUAUAAACCAAGCUUCUUUUUAAGGAUGGAAUAUUGCUAGUUGCCCAAGUGUCUUUGAACUCCUGGGUGCAAGUGAUCCUUUUGCCUUAGCCUUCCAAGUAGCUAGAACUACAGAGGUAUACCACUCCGCUUGGCUCAUACAUCUGCCCGCUUUACUUUUGUGAUACUAAUGGCAGCGUUUACAUCCUGAGGACAGAAGGUCCUGAUUCCAACAACUUGUUAUCUUUUGAUCUUAGGAAAGUUAGCCUCUUUUGUCCACCUGUUGUAUAGGAAGCACUUGCUUUAGAGGCUUUUAAGAAUCAGAUAAAAUAACGCAGAAGAAAACAUAAAACCUAUUGCUUAGUGCAGAAGUCCCUAUUUAUCCACUGAGAAUAUAUAUAUAUUACCACCCAAUGCCCCAUAGAUGCCUGUACUUAAGUCUAG